AACGGCAGCACGGGAGCAAUCCUGGUGGCGAGUGGCGAACGGGUGAGUAAUAUAUCGGAACGUGCCCAGUCGUGGGGGAUAACGCAGCGAAAGCUGUGCUAAUACCGCAUACGAUCUACGGAUGAAAGCGGGGGAUCGCAAGACCUCGCGCGAUUGGAGCGGCCGAUAUCAGAUUAGCUAGUUGGUGGGGUAAAGGCCCACCAAGGCGACGAUCUGUAGCUGGUCUGAGAGGACGACCAGCCACACUGGAACUGAGACACGGUCCAGACUCCUACGGGAGGCAGCAGUGGGGAAUUUUGGACAAUGGGCGCAAGCCUGAUCCAGCAAUGCCGCGUGCAGGAUGAAGGCCUUCGGGUUGUAAACUGCUUUUGUACGGAACGAAACGGUCUCUUCUAAUAAAGGAGGCUAAUGACGGUACCGUAAGAAUAAGCACCGGCUAACUACGUG
This 447-nucleotide ribosomal RNA is filed under the name Rhodoferax sp. M5-28. RNAcentral describes it as "bacterial SSU rRNA". It matches the Rfam family "Bacterial small subunit ribosomal RNA", at positions 65 to 507 of the family's 1533-position model. The record is from RNAcentral. Lineage: Bacteria; Pseudomonadati; Pseudomonadota; Betaproteobacteria; Burkholderiales; Comamonadaceae.